UUACGGAAGGUCCGGGCGUUAUCCGGAUUUAUUGGGUUUAAAGGGAGCGCAGGCGGAGAUGCAAGCGUGACGUCAAAUUUCGGGGCUCAACCCCGUCUCGCGUCGCGAACUGCGUCCCUUGGUUGCGGGAAGGGGAGGCGGAACUCGUGGUGUAGCGGGGAAAUGCAUAGAUAUCACGAAGAACUCCGAUCGCGAAGGCAGCCUUCCGGCCCGUCAACGACGCUCAUGCUCGAAGGUGCGGGUAUCAAACAGGAUUAGAUACCCUGGUAGUCCGCACAGUAAACGAUGGACACCCGCGGUUUGGCCUGUAUGGCUGAGCCGCCAAGCGAAAGCGUUAAGUGUCCCACCUGGGGAGUACGCCGGCAACGGUGAAACUCAAAGGAAUUGACGGGG
This 393-nucleotide ribosomal RNA is filed under the name uncultured bacterium. RNAcentral describes it as "partial 16S ribosomal RNA". It matches the Rfam family "Bacterial small subunit ribosomal RNA", at positions 523 to 918 of the family's 1533-position model. The record is from RNAcentral.